RNAcentral lists this ribosomal RNA (381 nucleotides) under uncultured eukaryote. RNAcentral's name for it is "partial 18S ribosomal RNA". It matches the Rfam family "Eukaryotic small subunit ribosomal RNA", at positions 592 to 976 of the family's 1831-position model. The record is from RNAcentral.
CAAUAGCGUAUAUUAAAGCUGUUGCGGUUAAAAAGCUCGUAGUUGGAUUUCUGUCAAGGACAACUGGUCCGCCCUCCGGGUGAGCACAUAGUUUGGUCUUGGCAUCUUGCUGGAAACUGUUGCUGCGCUUGGUUGUGUGGUGCAGCUUUCAGCACCUUCACUUUGAGGAAAUUGGAGUGUUUCAAGCAGGCACAUGCCUUUGGACACAGUAGCAUGGAAUAAUUAGAUUGGGCUUUUGCUCCAACUUGUUGGUUCCUGGAGCUGAGGUGAGAAUCAAUGGGGAUUGUUGGGGGCAUCCGAAUUUAGCCGUCAGAGGUGAAAUUCUUGGAUCUGCUAAAGACGGACAACUGCGAAAGCGUUUGCCCAGGAUGUUUUCAUUGA